RNAcentral lists this ribosomal RNA (292 nucleotides) under uncultured bacterium. Its description in RNAcentral is "partial 16S ribosomal RNA". It matches the Rfam family "Bacterial small subunit ribosomal RNA", at positions 505 to 796 of the family's 1533-position model. The record is from RNAcentral.
GUGUCAGCAGCCGCGGUAAUACGGAGGGUGCAAACGUUGCUCGGAAUCAUUGGGCGUAAAGCGCACGUAGGCGGUCCAGCAAGCGGGGAGUGAAAGCCCUCGGCUUAACCGAGGAAGUGCUUUCCGAACUACUGGACUUGAAUACUGAAGAGGAUCGCGGAAUUCCCGGUGUAGAGGUGAAAUUCGUAGAUAUCGGGAGGAACACCAGUGGCGAAGGCGGCGAUCUGGGCAGAUAUUGACGCUGAGGUGCGAAAGCGUGGGGAGCAAACAGGAUUAGAAACCCGCGUAGUCC